Molecule: ribosomal RNA, 214 nt
Filed under: uncultured bacterium
Lineage: Bacteria
Description: partial 16S ribosomal RNA
Rfam family: Bacterial small subunit ribosomal RNA
Source: RNAcentral
GACGAACGCUGGCGGCGUGCCUAAUACAUGCAAGUCGAACGAACUCUGGUAUUGAUUGGUGCUUGCAUCAUGAUUUUCAUUUGAGUGAGUGGCGAACUGGUGAGUAACACGUGGGAAACCUGCCCAGAAGCGGGGAUAACACCUGGAAACAGAUGCUAAUACCGGCAUAACAGCUUGGACCGCAUGGUCCGAGCUUGAAAGAUGGCUUCGGCUA